RNAcentral lists this ribosomal RNA (330 nucleotides) under uncultured bacterium. Its description in RNAcentral is "bacterial SSU rRNA". It matches the Rfam family "Bacterial small subunit ribosomal RNA", at positions 568 to 898 of the family's 1533-position model. The record is from RNAcentral.
UGUGUAGGCGGUUCUUUAAGUUUGGUGUGAAAUCUCCCGGCUCAACUGGGAGGGAGCGCCGAAUACUGAGGGACUAGAGUACGGGAGAGGAAAGUGGAAUUCCUGGUGUAGUGGUGAAAUGCGUAGAUAUCAGGAGGAACACCGGUGGUGUAGACGGCUUUCUGGACCGUAACUGACGCUGAGACACGAAAGCGUGGGUAGCAAACAGGAUUAGAUACCCUGGUAGUCCACGCCCUAAACGAUGCAUAUUUGGUGUGGGCAGUUCAUUCUGUCCGUGCCGGAGCUAACGCGUUAAAUAUGCCGCCUGGGGAGUACAGUCGCAAGGCUGAA